AAACAGGUUGAUCCUGCAGGGUGGGGAUGGUCCAUGCGAGGGCUAUGUUGAAAUCUUCCAUGGUGGGAUAUGGGGUAUUGUUGGUGACCAGAAAUGGCACAAGAACAAUGAGAAUGUAAUCUGCAAGAGCAUCGGCUGUGGGACAUCCAAUGGCUCCAAAGAUAUCAUAUUGAAAAAGGUUAAUCUUACCACAUGGAUGAACGAGUUGGAAUGCAAUGGAAAUGAGCCGUAUCUAUGGAAAUGCAGUUUUCCAGGGUGGAACAUAAGUUCCUAUACCAAGGAUACAGUAAAAAAAAUCACAUGUUCGGAUAAGAUUCAUCUUGCGCUUGAGAGUUUGCCUGGGUUUAGAUGUGCUGGAACUCUCAGAUACCAGAAAAUCUCAAAGGUCAACGAAACGGGCUACUUUUGUGAUCCGAAAUGGGAUAAACGGCAGGCUGACCUUGUGUGUGAACAUCUCAAAUGUGGCAAAUCUAAGCGUCUCCCAGCAGCCGGAAUGUUCUCACAAAAGGCAAAAACUGGCGACCUCAAACAUUUGCAGUGCAGCAGCGAUGAGCAUAUGAAACAUAUCUGGCAAUGUCUAACCAAGGAUGUAGAGAUGUGUACAGAACGUAUCGCCGUGAUUU
Coregonus clupeaformis (lake whitefish) is the source of this 623-nucleotide long non-coding RNA. RefSeq lists it as uncharacterized. The transcript has 3 exons. The record is from RefSeq and is a predicted model, not a curated record. Lineage: Eukaryota; Metazoa; Chordata; Actinopteri; Salmoniformes; Salmonidae.